GUUCUUGUAGUUGAAUUACAACGGUGGUUUUUCAUGCCAUUAGUCUUGGUUAAACUCCGAGCAGGAAUU
RNAcentral lists this transfer RNA (69 nucleotides) under Benthosema pterotum (skinnycheek lanternfish). RNAcentral's name for it is "tRNA-Glu". It matches the Rfam family "tRNA". From Rfam's summary of the family: Transfer RNA (tRNA) molecules are approximately 80 nucleotides in length. Lineage: Eukaryota; Metazoa; Chordata; Actinopteri; Myctophiformes; Myctophidae. The record is from RNAcentral.